UUUAUAGUUUGAGACGGUCAUCUGGUACGAUCGUCUGUCUGAAAUGGAUCGAAAUUAUUAAAGGUCGAAACGUUUAAAUCGGCUAUGCUUGUUUGGACUGUACGUGCUAUAAUAUUCAGCUUUCUCUACGAGUUGUUACUCGAACAGUGGGAGAAAGGAAAGGUCUGGUUUAAAUCUAAUCAGCGAUUCAUAAAGGUACAGUUGUCUCUUUGUUAUAUCGUUCGUAUAGAGUUCGUGGAAAUGGAUGGACGCGCCGAUAGAAUAGCAAAAUUGCGGCAAACUUCACGCAGACUUUUCGCGAACGGAUCAUGGACGGCAAGCAUUUUCCAAGAGUGCGCAGCCGCGGCUUAUCAUUGCCCUGCCAUCAUGGAACCGUGUAUUCGCGUCGAGGUGAGCGGCCAAGCCAUAUCGCGCCGCGCCGCGCCGGCCGUUCCGUCUUUCGCGAUCUAGACACUGGCUGAUUGGCCAGUCCUCGUUGCACAAUUUCGAACGCUGCACCAAUCGCAACAGUUGACUAUGCAGCUUCUAAACGCGAGCGGCAAAUCCGUAAAACCUCAGUUUUCUCGGAUACGAUACCCUCGAGAGGGCUGUUUAAACCAAGCUGCAGGUUGUCUUGCACGACGAAUCGAUCAGCAAAAGAUACGCGAGGAUGAUGAGAGGGUCAUAGAGACAGCAAUCCAUAAAUUUUACAUAAUGUUUAUUAUUUAUAGUGUACUCAGAAAUGUCGGGCCUCAACCAGUGGGCCUCCUCUUUUUUUUUUCUUUUGACAUAUUUGAUCAGUAAACAUCACAAUGUUAAUUUUCCUCCAGUUCGUACAGUUUUUAUUUCCUCUUUCUCACUCUCUCUUUCUUUUUCUCUAUUAAAAGCGACGCGCAAGCUGCUCGUAUUGAUUCGUGAAUCGUAUAAGAGUGAUUUUUUACGCGUUUUGAUUUAAACUCGCGAUUAAAUCGAAAACAAGAAAAUGUUUCUUUUCUUUCGUUUCUUUUCGACCAAGGUAAAAACAUUGUCGAGAAACAAGUCAACUUUGUUAAUCCGUUACGAGCAGAUUGUGCCUCACAAAAAAUAGAUAAUUAUCCAGGUUCGAGGUUCUUGGUUCUCCAUCCAUAAUUCAACAUGCCAGCAUAUUCGUAUAACAAAACGUCGAAUGUAACAACUUCAUAGAAAAAAAAAAACAAAACAACAAAAACACAAAGAAAGGUCUACCUUUAUCGUCAACUGUUCGAGGUAAUGAAUUUCGAUUUGCGAGUUCGAUGGUUGAUAAUAUACGUAUCUGUAUGUGUGAAUACACAUACAUACAGGUGUAUAUAUAUAUAUAAAUACCCACACACACACACACACAUAUAUACCACGUAUAUACCUAUACGUAUUCGAGUGAGAAUGUUUUCGGUAUGAACGUAACUUAGAAUUAGAAACUUCGCGUAUUACAAAAGUUGUCGUCGAAUUUGAACUCGAUUUUGUUGACAGUUAGAAAAAACGCACCCUUAUUUAAUAAUCACACACACACACUCUCUCUCUCUCUCUUUUUCUGUUUCUCUUACUCUUUCUUUUCAUUUUAUUCUUAUUUCCAAUAUCGGGCCGACAUUCGAGGAGCUUCUAAAUGUGUAGGGCAUAAAAAUAGGACAAAAAGGAUUCGGGAGUUAACCAGGGGAUGGACGAGGGGGCAGGGGUAUCGGGAUAGGGGACUGACUUUCCUUUUCUCAUUUUAUUUGUAUUAUAGUGACCAACCACCCCCACUGUACACGCUUCUGCUCGACUCAUCGUCCUUUUCGUGGACAUUGAAAAAUUAGGAUACGCACGAGCGUCGAGCGCGAAGAUUGAAACACGAAGAGCAAAGAUUCCGUGUAGAACGGGAAACUUGAUUUUUUUUGUUAACGUCGAUAAAUCGAUUCGUUGCACGCUUUCUAUUCCUCGUUUCAAUCUUCGAUUCGACGAAUUAAAAAAUUUACCGCGGCUCUGUCGUCGAACGGUCGAGAUCGUUUGUUCGGAACAAGAAUGAUUUCUUCUUUUGCGAAAACUCGACAGCAAUCGAAUGCGAUUCGUUCGAUGACAGAUCCAGCGGCCGCACGCUAAUAAAAUCGGCGCGGAAGCGAUGGUGGCGCGUGGGUACAUUUCUUUCUGUCAAGUUCUCGUUAGAUGAGGAAUCGAGGGUGGAGGGUGAGUCGAUAUUCGAAAAAAUCUUGGUAAAAAUAUGUGCUUGCGGACCCCGCGCCACUCGGCUCACCGACGCUUCUGGCCCACCUUAAUUAAUUCUCUUAACCUCCGUAAACACUUCGUCCAGCCUUCACGCUAUACGAAAUGACCGUUACAGUAUCAUAUUAUAUGUAUAUAAUAUAUAAUAUAUAUAUAUAAUAUAUAUAAUACAUAUAUUAUAUUCUACAUUACAUUACUAUGUUCAAAAAAUAAUAUUACAAUAUAUAUAUAGUGUGUGUUGUUAUGUGUAUUAUCAUUUUUUUUCUUUUUUUUUUCGUUAUUAUUCUUAUUUUCCUCCUCACCUCCGCGAUAGUGUACGCCUCUUACAUUAUCGCUUGUUUUCACUCUCGUUUUGUUCACUUUGUUUGUUUGUUUGUUUGCUUGUUCGUUUGUUUGUUUGUUUGUAUGUUUGUUUUUUCCCUAUUUUACGCGCGGUAGUACCUAAAAUUUACAAUUAGUUUAUUAAUCGACGAUUCGAUGCUGCUGAGAGCGCUGGUAAACCUAUGAUGAGAGAAGACUUACACGGUACAAAGCGACGGCUCGAAGUUUGCGUUUUCCCGAUUCUUUGAACGGUUGUAUAAAAUUAUUCUAUUCUCGCGGGGUAGUAGGUCUCGAUAUAAACGGCGCUUUCCAUCGUUAUAAAAUUCGUUUCGCGUGACAACAAAUCGCGCCAAACAGCCCAAAACGGUCGCCGAUCGUCUUUGGCUCUUCCUCGCGACGAUCAGAGAUGGGCAAAACUUUAUUCACGCUAUACGCGGCGAAUAGGAACGUAUCGACAAUUAAUGUAAAAAGUUUCGGACCGUUUAAUCGUUACUCGGAAUGUUUGUCCUUUCGGUUGUCUUGGAAUUUUGCGAUUUGCAAUUGUUCAGAGCUAAUAGAAUCCGACUGUCCCAUCUCCGACGACGAUAACAUCAACGAACGACCGCUCUGUCCGUUCUUCACCACGGAAUGCCCUAUAAGAUUUAUCUUCAGCGUGAAACGUGUCGCUUCUCUCAGCAGUACGCGCGUCACGUUUACCAAAUCCAUUUGGUGUGGUUGUGUGGAUGUAAAACCGCUAGGCGCUUCUUCUUCUCUUUCUCUUCGUUUAAUUUGAAUAACAACCAUUUUUUUUAUUUUUUAAUUUGUUUUACUAAAUAUAUCACAAACUGCCGGUGGCUAGUGCAGCCCUCGGAUUCACGUCGAACGCGUCAAUGUUGCUCGGUAUCGGCGAGUUGGUCGUCUUCGGGGACCGAGGACUCCGAGAUCCGAUCCGUUUGUUUCGAGACAGCGUUCGCCGUGAACGUUUGGGCUACCACCGGAAAAAUAUAACGUUAAGGGGUUACAUGUUAAUAGUUACAUCACUGUCGGAAGACGCAAGCUUCCGGAGGGUUCACGGAUGGACAGUCUUGCUUGCAGAAGCGCUCACCGGGAACCCUUCGGUCUUGUCCCCAACGUACGGUUAGUUUAAGUUUGUCGAACUAGUAAUUUUCCGUUUAUCAUGCUGCCACAGAAGAUUCUCUUUACUCGUAAAACUGUAAAUACCUUUAUAAAUCCAUGACCUUAAAGUAUUACGUAAUUUUCGUUUACCUUCUUUUUUUUCUGUUUUCGGUUUUUCUUUCGCGUCGUUUUAAUAAAAUCUCGCGGAUGCCCAAUGGAUCGAUACCGAAUUUACGCGUUCCUUCUAUCGAUUGUUUCUUCUUGCUCUCGGUUUUCUAGGUUUUCGUUCGAUAAUUUUCUCUUUAGAAAACUUGUAGUCAAGGGGGGCGACCGUGUUAUUAUAUCGGAAGGACAUGACAGGGGCGAGGUUAGGACAGAGGAGAUCAAGCCAUCUUCAAACUAUACAACGACGUAAGUUGAUUACACUGAAAUUGUUUGUUCACGAGGCUACAGGCAUCGGUUGCUAAUACCGCGGAAAAAGGAUUACUCUAACAUUUAGUGGGCAAUAUAUAUGCGUGACCCAGAGAAAAAGUGUUGAAACGAAGGUGCCCUCGCGUUGCGCUAGUCGCGAGCGCUCCGAUUACUCUCGCUGCUGUACCGUAUCGUAUGUGAUUAAACCGUGUUGGAACAAUUUCGAACAAUUAAAUACUGUAUAACUAUCGCUAUUAUUUUGCAAUCGCGUGAUUAAUUAUUAAUUACACCAAUUGCUAUUUGCGCAAAGGCAACGCCGUAGAGCAUGUUAGACGCAGCAGGAACAAUCGGGACACUGAUACAAAACGAGGGCAUCGAAACUAGCGUUCAGCAAAAGUGGCACGUCGUUAAUAUCCUAAGCGGGAUCGACUACAUCUCUAAGAGUAUAGACACGUGGCGAUAAAUAUACGUAUAGUAGUAACAUUCUACACUUAGCAUAGCUCAGGCGUGCGCGCUUGUAUACGUAUGAAUGACCAAGAACACGUAGCCAAACUUUAUGUGGAUGUGCGUGGGUGCGCGCGCGCGCGCGCGCGUGUGUGUGGACAUGUUUGUGUACGUGUUUGUGGAUUACAAAGGGUCUAUAAAAGCGUUUCGCGAGAGGCGCGUCAGCUCACUUAUAAGCAGGAGGUGAAACCACGAGCGCGCUUCAAAUUGUUCGUAGCGUCGAGUAUUGGAUUAAGGAAUAAGGAUUAUAGGUUUAACUGUAUCCGUCGUUAUAUAACGGGAAACGCUUCUACUUCCUAAAUAGUGUAUAAGAAUUUCAACGUCUUGUAGUUCACGUGGGAUCAAACAUCUCUCCGUCGAUGAAUCAGUUCACGGUAAUUGUUCGCUUUUCUAAAGUGUCGCUAAGACCAGAACAAGCUGAGGGGGUUAGAAGUUUGCCGCGUUGAUCGGUCAAACGAGUGUAUCAAUCGUAACGAAGAUCCGGGGAAGGGUUACGGGUCUCGGGUCUCGGGUCUCGGGUCUCGGUAAUAUGUAACGGGGUGGGAGUUGAAGGAGAGGGGCAGGCGAGGAGGGAGUCUCCUCCAUGUUUUCGUUUCUUUCUUCGAAAUUUCGAAAUUUCUCGAUGGACGUCUCCUCUGCAAUCUUUCUUCUGUGCCGCGGUUAACCCUUUUACCAUGGACGACGUAUACACACAUGUCAUCGAACGGUAACCGUGAUUUAAGAAUUUAACGCAUUCACUUUUGUAUCCUGGGUAGAGACAAGGUUCCGUCGCGAUUCGUGAAUGGGUCAAGGGCGAGUGAACGCGCUAAACUGUUCGGAUCUCUUGUAAAUAGACAGCGAAAGGGUUAAGCACGACACGAUGGCGUUUGAAUUGUUUUCGAGGCAGGCGUGCAGGUGUCCGUGGCGUGAAAGAGUUCACGCCGGUGAGCAAAAAUGGAAUCGGAUUUAUUCUCGCCUUAAAGCGCUCGCAAGGAUUCGAGCGAAGCGAUCGGUUCGAUGAGAUUUUCCUCUGUUUAUUUUUCCAUUUCCGGUAAAUAUUCUACGUCGUCUAAACCAUUUUUAUUUAGUUUUUUUUUUUCGUUUGCUCGAUUGUUUACCAUAGUUGUCUUCGCCUACUUUGACAGAUGAGACGCUUCGCCGUCGCCAAGACAUAGACGUUUUUCCGUAACGAGGACGGAUGUUUUCAGACUAAGACUAGAAAAAUACUAGCGCCUUUCUAGAAACGAUUCAGAAACGACAGCUCCGAUUCACUUUUAUCGAAUGCUGUCACGUUCGGAGCUUUCUCGAGCUCCUCGAUCGGGGUACGAAUGAAAGAGUUCUCUUCAGCGGAGCAGCCGUUGACAAGUAUUUCGAAUAGAUUCUGUCGUUCGUCGGAUCUUACAAUCAACAGCGUACGCGAGGCGAAGAGUCGAUAGACCAGCGGCAGAGGCACACGGCGUGUGUUGCUCCUGGCUCUAACCGACCAAAAUAGCUGAAGACGAAUAUAGCACAUUUCUGUAAUAAUAGUUAUAUUAAUACUAAGCGUUUAACUCUUUUUCUCGUCGCGGUUUUCGUAAAGGGACAAGAAGGAGAAGCCGAGGGGUCCGGGGAGGGAUGUGAGGGUGGCGGGUACAAGAGGAAGCGGGAACUCAGGGAAAACGUAAACGAAACAGGCAGAUCCGAACGAGUGUUGGACCGUUCAGGAUCCUCGGUUAGUGGAAACGGAGAGUGGUGUCUUCGGUAACCGUAUACGCGUAGACGGCAAAUUCUGUUUCUGCUCGUCCGUGUUUAUAAGGAGAAAGGGGGUAUUAAAAAUUCUCUAUCGCUACGAGAAGCUUACUAGGCGUAGGCUGGAUACACUAACAUGCACGAUUAGUCGACUGGUAAAAGUUCUCUCGUCUACUAUCCGCUAAGAUCGUGUUACGUACGCUACCAUGUAUCGCUAUGUUUAAUAAUCUAAACUCGAAAAAUACUAUUAGUCUUCGUUAGCUUAGUUCGAAAAAUGUUAAUAUUCGAUGGCCGGCGUCGAGCUACCGACGUCGGACGCCUUUUAGUUUCAUUCUUUUUUCUUUUGCUUGACCUAGAGAAAGUCGUUCGGAACGUUUACCUAGACGAUUUCCGGGUUACGGGUUUUGAAAUUGUAAAGAUACACGCAUAACGGGUCUGUUCGCGUUUCGUCGACGAUCCGUGGCGCGGAUCGUCGUGCCAUCCGUUUCUACAACUACCGCGACAAUCAUUUUUCUUUUCGUCUCGUCGUGUUUUGCGUAUGUCGUCUGGAGAGAAAAUCGUCUGUUUCUUUGCCGGAAAAUGUCUGUGUAUACAGUAGUAUUCUGAGUAAAAGGAACUCUCUUGAAGAAUCGCGCGUAGCGUUGAGGGAGCGUCUGCCCGAACAAUACAUCUAUAUAUCAUUUUUAUAUAUGAAUAAUACAUAUCGUGUGUCCGUCUCUCUGUGUGUGUGUGUGUGUAUCUGUGUGUGUAUCUGUGUAAGCACAGUACGUGCCCCGUGCAUACGUGGGCGCGUAUGGGUCUACGUGUAUACAUGUGUACGUAUAACGAAAACUCCAGUUAUUUUAAAUCGUGUUCCGUGAACCGCGUUCAAGUUCUCAUACUUCUCUCGUCGAUAUUCCUUUCCCGUCGAUCUUUAUCCAUCCAACGAGGAAAACACACCUCGGGCAACGGGAGAAUCUCGCUCUGCAGAGAUACACGGUUACUCUUCUUAAACCCGUUCGUUCUCGCGUCUACCUCUAUCGACUAUUCGUCUAGCGCGAUCGAGCUUAGCGUUGUAUGCAACCAAGGAGGCUUGUCCGACUUUUAGUUACGAUAUCACCGUACACGGUCCACUUACGAGUUAUGCUGUAGAAUAAAAGUCAAAAAUAUAUUAUAUGUAUAUAUUCAUAUAUAUAUAUUCGUUUCUGUUGUACCUACUAUAUUCUAGUGUAUCGAGAAGCAUGUACGCUCGAGGUUCGUUCACGACGCUAUUUAGACACGUUGACGUCUUCGCGACACUCUUCGACUGCGACCAGCCGAAAGUCAUUCGAAUGUGCGCGCCGCCAACAGUUAGCCUGGUUACAUGUUGAACUAGAACUGAAUCCCGUCGUACCGUCUUGCGCCUUACAGUUUACAGUUAUACGCGUUUAGCUUGAACAAAAUUCCCAUCGGUCGCUGCGCUCCGUUGCGGAUUUAUUCGUUUUUUCGUCGGUUAGCGGACAAGCUUGUCCCUGGCGUGGACGGUCUGUUAGUGUAUUAUUUUCGGUAUAUCCGUGCUCCCGUUUUCGUAUCGCGUUUUUCUGUCUCGUCGUCCCGCUCUUGUAUCUCGCGCCCCUUUACUCCCCCGCGAGUCCUUUCAAUUCGGUCGACGCUUACCAGGCGCGGGGUAAUGGCAACGAUGACCAAUGCGCGUUCUAUCGCGAGCCGUGGACGGGUUAUCCGAACAAAUCCGAUCGGACGUUCGUGUCGGCAAUUUCGGAUGGGCUCGGUUCAGUCGACGGUAGACAAUCCGAUUAAACGUACCAAAAUAUCCAAACAUCCGGCCUAGCUUUCGUUCGAAUAGCCGAUGGCCGCGCUUGCGAAACUCCAAACUCGAAACCGUCUCUCUGCAGAGCGAGCACGAGACCUCUCGAAAUUUCGUCCUUUUUGUUCUUUCUAUCCUGAACGCUUUCCUUUCUCCGUCUGCGAGGGUUCGCUCACUCUCAACCCUUUCCGUUCGUUCUCUCGGCAGAGUCAAAAAUGCAUUGCGCGCAAGAAGCUAGGUAGGUACACGCGAGCAUAUAUUUUCGGCCAACCGAACGAUGGAACGCACGAGAACGAGAAAAGGAUCUACUCGUAAACAUUCUCCACUUUGGAAAUCUAGCCAAGUAGUCUGCUGCGACUACGUCCAAAGUUGUCGGACCAAAGUACGUUUUAACGUUUUCAAGCGAGAGUUGCGAAUGGAAGACUCCAACUGGUAUCACUGGUAACAUCGUACUAGACAUUUUUGUAAGAAUUUUUCAACCGAUUACGCGUACUGCCGUAUCUUUAACUAAACGUCGAUUGUAGUCGCAGCUCCUUGCGAUGUUGUAUCGAAAAUUCGCGUUCCCCUUGCAACGAGUGGAUCCUAAUCAGGCAUCGUAGCCAAGUUUUACUAGCAAUUUUUGCGACUAAUUUCGAAACAGGUAUAUCUGCUGCUCUAUCUACUGUAUCUAAUAAGAUAAAGCUGUUGUAAAUGUCCAUGCAUAACUUGAACUUGGUUAGGAUAGAAUUCACGUUAACUACCGUAUGAUCUUUCGAUCUGUCAUCUGUAGCAAAAAGACGAAUCGAAAUGCAAAGGCAAACGAAAGACGAAGCACAGCUAACACCAACCCGUCCACUCGAAAUCUACGUUUUUCGUGCGAACCAAAGACGUUCGUUGGCCACGCGAAGCAGCAUUAUUCUUUUUCUCUUUGAAGCGAUAGCAUAUAUAAAUCGUCGUAUGAACCCAUUGUCGCCGAACGAGACAGGUUUCGAUUUUCACCUCUCUUCAACGAUAUCUCUAGGCACGACGACAUGGCGUUCAAGCGACCGAACUCUGCUUGAUUUACAAAUAAUUUUUACCGCUUUGUGAUUGCUUGCUGCAGCAGCUAAAACCCUUGACUCAAGUUGGGGAAGCUUAAACUCCGGUGGGAUUGUCGCAUUAUUUUCAUCGUGUUUCGUUAUCUCUUUCGUUUCAUAUAUUAUUAUUAUUUUUUUGUUCAUGUUUAUCUUAUCCAUAUGCGUAUACGUAUUUAUACACACAUAUAUACGUAUACGCAUAUCUUUUUCACAUUUUUUUAGAACGGCUUUCGUUUUAAUGUUCGCGACAAUGGAGCAGCGUCCGUGGCUGUCACGGUUUUCCUCUCCUCUUUACUCUUUCUCUCCUUCCGUACUGGCGUAAUUAACAUUAUUUAGUUAUAAUACUUGGUGUGUGUUUAACUAGAACGUUUGGUAUCGAAGGGAAAGACGAGUCUCGCCUCGCUACUCGAUCUCGUUCGUUCGAAAUUCUAUUGCGCGACCGAACGCGAUUCGCUUUCUCUCUAAUUGGAAAUUUAUUCGUAAACGAGACGUUCUAAGAACUCUUUUCUGUCUUCUACUCUUCCAUCGUGUUUCGAGACGCGGGCAAACCAUCGUUCUCGGUUACUCCGAUCUCGCGAAAACGAAAUAAACAGCUUUGCUAAAAGACUGGCAGCAAUUGGGACGAAUUCGAAUAUAUCACACACUCGCGGUAUUUCGUACAAUUUUAUACGUAUAUGUAAACGGAACAAAUCUUCAGAUUCUACGGUACAAAGGAAAAACGUUCGAAAAAAUACACUCUACGAAUAAAAUUGCAAUUGAAAACGUUUCGUCGUCGUUUUCGCAUCGGUGCUAUACCGAAUCGCUUAAAUGGACAUUCGUUAAUUAUUGUACUUACUUUUAUACAUAUACCAUAUAUAUAACGUGUGUACCUCUUGUUUUUUUUUAAAUCUAAACGCUAUGUAUAUGUAUGUACAUACAUGCUAGUUGCGAGCACGAGGAACUCGUCCGUAUUCUUCCGUUUCCGUCUACUGUUUUACUUUUUUUCGGUUUUGUUCAUUUUCAUAGCUACUGAACGCAGUCGUGCGCCUCUACCUUUCUUGCGCGAAACGAUGAAAACGAAUGCGUAUCGCGUAAUUUGAUCGAAAAAGAAAAACUACACAAUCCCGUAUUCGUGACUAAAACAAACACGUGGUACAUAUUUGUUAGAAUUUCGCUAAUUUUCGAUAGAAAAACGUUCUUCGUGUCACGCUCGCGGAUCGACGAACAAAUUUCGAAUCUACGACGAUUUAGAUUCUCGAUACUUCCAUCUUCCGACCAAUGCUAUCUCGAGUCUAGCCUUAUGUACACGAGUAAUUUACAAUAUCGAACAUUCGAAUCUUUCCCCUCUAAUACCAAAAAGACAACCGAGGUAUUAAUCGAUAAACGAAAAAACGGUGUAUACAUUUCUUUUUUUGUCCAUUUCAUUUCAUUUUGUAUGCAUCGUCGAUAUAUGUGUGUCACCUUUGAUUCUUAAAUGCUGUACAGGAACAUUUACUUGCUUAUUCGUUUAAUCACUCGUUUAAUAUUUUGUUUUUUGUAUUUAUUCGAUAUUUCGUAACCGUAGCCUAUACUUAGUUUGUCGUUAGAGUACUUCGUUAUUACCUAUCCGUUUAAAUAAUUAACGCUAUCGUCGGAGUCAAUCGAUGAAACAAUCGGUGUGUCAAUUAAUAUCAAUCCGGAACAAACGUCGCGACUUGUCGUUCUCGUUGGCGCGUACGAGAAGCGAGAGAGCGCGCAAAAGACCCUGGCCCAUCGCAAAUGACUAGCUCAACAAACGCGUCUUCUCGUUUGUUACGGUCGAGCGAGCGAACGAAGAGACUCGCUUUUUAUCGGCUUGGUCGGGAAAGUAGAUGAAAGCCUUUCCUGGACGGUCGUGGUUCGUUUUAUUUUUUCCUUUCUCUUUUAUUUAUCGAAAAAAAAAAAGUAUACGACGGUACUAGCGACUACGUAUUUUGUUACUCCUAGGUUCGCGGUGUCGAUUGCACUGACUACUUUCAUCCUUUUGUUACGCUACAGGAAAAAAUUAUAUAUUUGUAUAUAUAUGAAAUUAAAUACUACGAAUACAUGGAAUACGGUAUAGAGAGUAAAAUGAAUGCAUUAGGAUAAAAAAAAAAAAAAAUACAAUAAA
This is a long non-coding RNA of Hylaeus volcanicus, 11173 nucleotides long. RefSeq lists it as uncharacterized. The record is from RefSeq and is a predicted model, not a curated record. The transcript has 2 exons. NCBI's taxonomy places the organism in Eukaryota, Metazoa, Arthropoda, Insecta, Hymenoptera, Colletidae.